CCUGGGGACAGGGGAUUGGGGCAG
RNAcentral lists this microRNA (24 nucleotides) under Homo sapiens (human). Its description in RNAcentral is "hsa-miR-8089". Lineage: Eukaryota; Metazoa; Chordata; Mammalia; Primates; Hominidae. The record is from miRBase by way of RNAcentral.